RNAcentral lists this ribosomal RNA (263 nucleotides) under uncultured bacterium. Its description in RNAcentral is "partial 16S ribosomal RNA". It matches the Rfam family "Bacterial small subunit ribosomal RNA", at positions 28 to 311 of the family's 1533-position model. The record is from RNAcentral.
GACGAACGCUGGCGGUGUGCUUCACACAUGCAAGUCGAACGGGGUAGUAGCAAUACUACUUAGUGGCGGACGGGUGAGUAACACGUGGGAAUCUGCCCUCGAGUGGUGAAUAACUGGCCGAAAGGCUAGCUAAUGUGCCAUACGUCGAAAGAUGAAAGCAGCAAUGCGCUAGAGGAUGAGCCCGCCGUCCGAUUAGCUAGUUGGUAAGGUAAGAGCUUACCAAGGCACCGAUCGGUAGCUGGUCUGAGAGGAUGAUCAGCCAC